This 410-nucleotide ribosomal RNA is filed under the name uncultured bacterium. Its description in RNAcentral is "bacterial SSU rRNA". It matches the Rfam family "Bacterial small subunit ribosomal RNA", at positions 370 to 772 of the family's 1533-position model. The record is from RNAcentral.
AAUGGGCGCAAGCCUGAUCCAGCCAUGCCGCGUGCGGGAAGAAGGCCUUCGGGUUGUAAACCGCUUUUGUCAGGGAAGAAAUCCUUUGGGUUAAUACCUCGGGGGGAUGACGGUACCUGAAGAAUAAGCACCGGCUAACUACGUGCCAGCAGCCGCGGUAAUACGUAGGGUGCAAGCGUUAAUCGGAAUUACUGGGCGUAAAGCGUGCGCAGGCGGUUUGGUAAGACAGGCGUGAAAUCCCCGGGCUUAACCUGGGAACUGCGCUUGUGACUGCCAGGCUAGAGUACGGCAGAGGGGGGUGGAAUUCCACGUGUAGCAGUGAAAUGCGUAGAGAUGUGGAGGAACACCAAUGGCGAAGGCAGCCCCCUGGACCUGUACUGACGCUCAUGCACGAAAGCGUGGGGAGCAAA